AACGCUAGCUACAGGCUUAACACAUGCAAGUCGAGGGGCAGCAUGAUUGAAGCUUGCUUCAAUUGAUGGCGACCGGCGCACGGGUGAGUAACGCGUAUCCAACCUGCCCUUUACUUCGGGAUAGCCUUUCGAAAGAAAGAUUAAUACCGGAUGGUUUCUUCUUUUCACAUGGGAAGUAGAAUAAAGAUUUAUCGGUAAAGGAUGGGGAUGCGUUCCAUUAGAUAGUAGGCGGGGUAACGGCCCACCUAGUCGACGAUGGAUAGGGGUUCUGAGAGGAAGGUCCCCCACAUUGGAACUGAGACACGGUCCAAACUCCAACGGGAGGCAGCAGUGAGGAAUAUUGGUCAAUGGGCGAGAGCCUGAACCAGCCAAGUAGCGUGAAGGAUGACUGCCCUAUGGGUUGUAAACUUCUUUUAUAUGGGAAUAAAAAAGGCCACGUGUGACCUAUUGUAUGUACCUUAUGAAUAAGCAUCGGCUAAUUCCGUGCCAGCAGCCGCGGUAAUACGGAAGAUGCGAGCGUUAUCCGGAUUUAUUGGGUUUAAAGGGAGCGUAGGCGGGCGAUUAAGUCAGCGGUAAAAUAGUGUGGCUCAACCAUACUCCGCCGUUGAUACUGGUUGCCUUGAGUGCACACAAGGAAGAUGGAAUUCGUGGUGUAGCGGUGAAAUGCUUAGAUAUCACGAAGAACUCCGAUUG
This 693-nucleotide ribosomal RNA is filed under the name uncultured Bacteroides sp. RNAcentral describes it as "bacterial SSU rRNA". It matches the Rfam family "Bacterial small subunit ribosomal RNA", at positions 32 to 715 of the family's 1533-position model. Lineage: Bacteria; Pseudomonadati; Bacteroidota; Bacteroidia; Bacteroidales; Bacteroidaceae. The record is from RNAcentral.